Molecule: ribosomal RNA, 460 nt
Filed under: uncultured bacterium
Lineage: Bacteria
Description: partial 16S ribosomal RNA
Rfam family: Bacterial small subunit ribosomal RNA
Source: RNAcentral
CCUACGGGAGGCAGCAGUGAGGAAUAUUGGUCAAUGGACGAGAGUCUGAACCAGCCAAGUAGCGUGAAGGAUGACUGCCCUAUGGGUUGUAAACUUCUUUUAUAUGGGAAUAAAAUGUUCCACGUGUGGGAUUUUGUAUGUACCAUAUGAAUAAGGAUCGGCUAACUCCGUGCCAGCAGCCGCGGUAAUACGGAGGAUCCGAGCGUUAUCCGGAUUUAUUGGGUUUAAAGGGAGCGUAGGGGGAUUGUUAAGUCAGUUGUGAAAGUUUGCGGCUCAACCGUAAAAUUGCAGUUGAAACUGGCAGUCUUGAGUACAGUAGAGGUGGGCGGAAUUCGUGGUGUAGCGGUGAAAUGCUGAGAUAUCACGAAGAACUCCGAUUGCGAAGGCAGUUCACUGGACUGCAACUGACACUGAGGCUCGAAAGUGUGGGUAUCAAACAGGAUUAGAUACCCGAGUAGUC